ACGUAUUCAUAUUAAAAGUUCGAUAGUUUUCGGCAAUUUUCGUUAAUCGUCGUCAAUCUUCGUCGAUUCUGACCAGUUUGUCUGCCAUUAUUAAACUCGUCGUUCAAGUAAAAUGUGAUCGUUGUAUAAUAUAUUUUUCAUUUUAUUUAGUCAUCAGCUUCUAUUUUAAUAUGUGGCACAGUUUGUCCAGAUGAUAUUUGUACUUUUGGUUUUGGUAUUUGAGCUUUAACCGUGGUUGUACCUGUUGGUGCUAUAAAAGAUAUAAAACAUAAGAAGUUAAAGAAACAAAUAGUACUGAUAUUAUUAUAAAAUCAUUUUGAUAUAUAAAUAAUACGUUUUAUCUUACAUAUUCGUGCUCUCAAUGAAAUGUGGUAAGACGGGAUAGUUGAAUGGGAUUGAAGGACAUGAAAGUGAUCUAGGGAAUACAUAUACAUAUACAUAUAUAUAUAUAUAUAUAUAUAUAUAUAUAUAUAUAUAUAUAUAUAUAUGUCAUAUUAAAUUUAAAAUAUAUAGUUUAUAUCGCUAAACAUGCUGUGAGUAAUAUAAAGUUAUAUAAUUAAA
Vespa crabro (European hornet) is the source of this 561-nucleotide long non-coding RNA. RefSeq lists it as uncharacterized. The transcript has 2 exons. The record is from RefSeq and is a predicted model, not a curated record. Lineage: Eukaryota; Metazoa; Arthropoda; Insecta; Hymenoptera; Vespidae.